This 394-nucleotide ribosomal RNA is filed under the name uncultured bacterium. Its description in RNAcentral is "bacterial SSU rRNA". It matches the Rfam family "Bacterial small subunit ribosomal RNA", at positions 29 to 428 of the family's 1533-position model. The record is from RNAcentral.
AUUGAACGCUGGCGGCAUGCCUUACACAUGCAAGUCGAACGGCAGCACGGGAGCAAUCCUGGUGGCGAGUGGCGAACGGGUGAGUAAUACAUCGGAACGUGCCCAGUAGUGGGGGAUAACCCGGCGAAAGCCGGACUAAUACCGCAUACGACCUACGGGUGAAAGCAGGGGAUCGCAAGACCUUGCGCUAUUGGAGCGGCCGAUGUCAGAUUAGCUUGUUGGGGGGUAAAAGCCUACCAAGGCAACGAUCUGUAGCUGGUCUGAGAGGACGACCAGCCACACUGGGACUGAGACACGGCCCAGACUCCUACGGGAGGCAGCAGUGGGGAAUUUUGGACAAUGGGCGCAAGCCUGAUCCAGCCAUGCCGCGUGCGGGAAGAAGGCCUGGUUGUAA